CUGAUGUGCGGUCUUUCAAAGAUUCUUAAAACUGACAGAACCUUACAUACUAGUCGGCUGAAACCACAAUAGUUUAUCAAAAGAUGAGCUAACAGUAGCAGCAGUAGCAAUAUUUGUAGUUUGUGUUCUCUAAUUUUGAUUCUGUAAUUUCUUACAUUGUCGCUUCGUAUGUUCUUGCUCAUGACAGUAAUAACAAACAAUAUUACUUAAAUCAUUAUACCGACUAUCCAUUGCUCUAUUUCCUCCCCUAUUAUUAUUUC
Molecule: long non-coding RNA, 260 nt
Filed under: Carica papaya (papaya)
Lineage: Eukaryota; Viridiplantae; Streptophyta; Magnoliopsida; Brassicales; Caricaceae
Description: long non-coding RNA (CPAP_LNC000076)
Source: RNAcentral